CAACUGCCAUAUCAAUAGCGGAGGAAAAGAAACCAACCGGGAUUGCCUUAGUAACGGCGAGUGAAGCGGCAAAAGCUCAAAUUUGAAAUCUGGUACCUUCGGUGCCCGAGUUGUAAUUUGGAGAGGGCAACUUUGGGGCCGUUCCUUGUCUAUGUUCCUUGGAACAGGACGUCAUAGAGGGUGAGAAUCCCGUGUGGCGAGGAGUGCGGUUCUUUGUAAAGUGCCUUCGAAGAGUCGAGUGGUUUGGGAAAAGAUC
RNAcentral lists this ribosomal RNA (256 nucleotides) under uncultured fungus. RNAcentral describes it as "partial 26S ribosomal RNA". It matches the Rfam family "Eukaryotic large subunit ribosomal RNA", at positions 30 to 286 of the family's 3401-position model. The record is from RNAcentral. Lineage: Eukaryota; Fungi.